This is a long non-coding RNA of Homo sapiens (human), 742 nucleotides long. RefSeq lists it as uncharacterized. Lineage: Eukaryota; Metazoa; Chordata; Mammalia; Primates; Hominidae. The transcript has 3 exons. The record is from RefSeq and is a predicted model, not a curated record.
GAUCCUCCCGCCUCAGCUUCCUGAGCAGCUGGGACCACAGCAGGAACUUUCUGUGAGCUGAGGUGCGUGAUCCUGAUAUUGAUCCCAGACAAUUGCUACGUCUGGUAAUACAUAUGACAGGUGCUGGACAGAGCUGAACUGGAACAAGGGUCUGCAGCCAUUCACAGAGGGCAUGUCAAUCUGUGUUCACUCAGGCAGGAGGCAGGAACAUGCAGGAUGGGAAUGGGAAAGUAAACAGGAGUGGCCAUGGACUCCUGGCCUCUUCUCUCCAUGAGGUUUUCUCACCGAGAGCCUGCUCCAGGGAAGGUGGUUGGCCAAGGCCUGGGGAGCAGCUUUGUGAGGCCUAGGAAGACCCCAGAAGAGGACUUUGCUGAGAAGAGAGCAGACAAGAAGUCAGGAGUGGGGUGAGAGCAGCUUCUCCCUCUCCUUCGCACACUUGUACAUAGGCAUUCUCCCUCUAUUUCCAGCUCCUGCACCCAAGCUAUAAAAACAAGUAUGGCCUACUGUAAGGCAUUCCACAAUAAAGACCUCAUUCCUUCUGAAAACUUUUCACACUAUAAGAAGCUUCUUCUGAAAGGCAAGCGCAGUCACUAGCAACUAACACUGUAGCCACUGCUAUUCAUCUUUCUAGGUAUUAAAUAACAUCUAUUUGAGGGCAAGAGCGGAACACAAGAGACAUAUCCAGAAGGAGAAAAGAGAGAGAAAAUGAAAAGGGAAUUAAUUGGUGAAGUGGGAUGUACCA